This 551-nucleotide ribosomal RNA is filed under the name uncultured Thermoleophilum sp. RNAcentral's name for it is "bacterial SSU rRNA". It matches the Rfam family "Bacterial small subunit ribosomal RNA", at positions 355 to 897 of the family's 1533-position model. Lineage: Bacteria; Bacillati; Actinomycetota; Thermoleophilia; Thermoleophilales; Thermoleophilaceae. The record is from RNAcentral.
UGGGGAAUCUUGCGCAAUGCGCGAAAGCGUGACGCAGCAACGCCGCGUGAGGGAAGAAGGCCUUCGGGUUGUAAACCUCUUUCAGGAGGGACGAAGGUUCAGGCGCGAAUAGCGUCCUGGACUGACGGUACCUCCAGAAGAAGCCCCGGCUAACUACGUGCCAGCAGCCGCGGUAAUACGUAGGGGGCUAGCGUUGUCCGGAAUCAUUGGGCGUAAAGCGCGCGUAGGCGGCCCGGUAAGUCCGCUGUAAAAGUCAAAGGCUCAACCUUUGAAGGUCAGUGGAUACUGCCGGGCUAGAGUCCGGAAGAGGCGAGUGGAACUCCUGGUGUAGCGGUGGAAUGCGCAGAUAUCAGGAAGAACACCAACGGCGAAGGCAGCUCGCUGGGACGGUACUGACGCUGAGGCGCGAAAGCGUGGAGAGCGAACAGGAUUAGAUACCCUGGUAGUCCACGCCGUAAACGAUGGGCACUAGGUGUGGGAGGUGUCGACUCCUCCCGUGCCGGCGCUAACGCAUUAAGUGCCCCGCCUGGGGAGUACGGCCGCAAGGCUAA